UCGCGGCGGUGCGCGCAGAAGGGUCUGGGCUCGAGCCUGCCUGGAGCCGCCGCCGGUGCAGAUCUUGGUGGUAGUAGCAAAUACUCCAGCGAGGCCCUGGAGGACUGACGUGGAGAAGGGUUUCGUGUGAACAGCCGUUGCACACGAGUCAGUCGAUCCUAAGCUCUAGGAGAAAUCCGAUGUAAACGGCGUUGGGAAAAAUUGAUUUAGAAAAAAGCCCACUGAUCGGGCGAAAGGGAAUCCGGUUCCUAUUCCGGAACCCGGCAGCGGAACCGUUGUUUGUCGGGCCCUCACAAGGGGUUCGUCAGGGCAACCUAAAAGGGCCCGGAGACGCCGUCGGGAGCCCCGGAAAGAGUUUUCUUUUCUGCAUGAGCGUUUGAGUUCCCUGGAAUCCUCUCGCAGGGAGAUAGGGUUUGGAACGCGAAGAGCACCGCAGUUGCGGCGGUGCCCGGGAAUCCCCGACGGACCUUGAAAAUCCGGGAGAGGGCCACGUGGAGGUGUCGCGCCGGCUCGUACCCAUAUCCGCAGCAGGUCUCCAAGGUGAAGAGCCUCUAGUC
This 557-nucleotide ribosomal RNA is filed under the name Procordulia grayi. RNAcentral's name for it is "eukaryotic LSU rRNA". It matches the Rfam family "Eukaryotic large subunit ribosomal RNA", at positions 1389 to 1888 of the family's 3401-position model. Lineage: Eukaryota; Metazoa; Arthropoda; Insecta; Odonata; Corduliidae. The record is from RNAcentral.